Molecule: transfer RNA, 85 nt
Filed under: Stenotrophomonas maltophilia
Lineage: Bacteria; Pseudomonadati; Pseudomonadota; Gammaproteobacteria; Lysobacterales; Lysobacteraceae
Description: tRNA-Leu
Source: RNAcentral
ACCCUUGUGGCACAAUGAAUUCUGUGCGGACUUAAAAUCCGCCGGGGGCAACCCCAUGCCGGUUCGAUUCCGGCUCCGGGCACCA